Pteronotus mesoamericanus is the source of this 102-nucleotide small nuclear RNA. The record is from RefSeq and is a predicted model, not a curated record. NCBI's taxonomy places the organism in Eukaryota, Metazoa, Chordata, Mammalia, Chiroptera, Mormoopidae.
UUGCUUCAGCAGCUCAUACACUAAAAUUGGAACAAUACAGCAAAAUUAAUAUUAUCCCUGUACAAGGAUGACACACAAAUAAAGCAGGUAUAUUAUAGACAG